UAGUCGGAUGGGCUCUACAGACGUAUUGGCCGUGUGGCUUAGCCAGUAAUGUUAUUAUUGUUCUUUCAAGGUAUUGCAUUUUGUUUUUGUUUUUGACUGCGUGUAUUUCCGGUCUAAUCCAAGACUGUGUUGUGCUCCUAAGAAAUAUGAUUCUUCAAUGGCGGCAGGAAACAACCAAGAAUUCCGCUAUGCCACUGGAAGAAGAGACAUACACGUAGGCUUCAUUGUCUUCAGAAUGACUCAAACCCACCGGAACUCUUGUCCUAUGGAAGAUCUCAGCUGUUCCAAGGUGGAGAUCUUCGACAGAACUUCGUGUCUACUGAUCGCUGGUUUACUACUUCCGCCACAGUACAGGAGUAGAACAAGCCUUUAACUCCAGUCACACAUCUGGCCCGGUGCCUGUGAUUGUGGAUAGAAUACCAUUGCAUUGACCUUAAUUGCGUGCAUUUAGAAGUGUUACAACUGUUUAAAAAUUCUUUGGCCCUCGUAAGCCUUAAAUUCGCAAGAGAAUACUAAGUUAACGCAGACGCAUUCUUCGAUGUUAAUUCAGUUGUAGCCUGCAUUCAAAAGUUUCACAGAGACCUUGACCUCUGACCCACCACUCUGCAUAAAGGACCACGGACAUUGACUAUGAAUGGGUUCCUCACUACGCAUUUCGCUUGAAUGAAAGAACAAGUGCAAGGGCCUUGACUCCGCUCUAGUAAUAGGCUUAUCCCUGACCCUGAAGGUGCAAGUCAGCUGUGUUUCAUUGCCUGAUUUCGUGAGUUACAUAUCGACAUAAUCCAAGAUACCAUAAAAAUGCAACGUCGAGUGGCGAAUAGUAGAUGAUCGUGAAUAGUGAAGUAGAAAGGACAAGAGAGACAGUGAACUUGUUUUACAUAUCGCGUUGAAAUGUUGCCGAUCAUAAGUUUCAUGAUAUUAGUUAGCUUUCAACACUCUGUAGUCUGGAAUUCUGAGGUCUGAUUUUCGGCUCUGAGUCAGGGUAGCAUUUUCCUCACACCUGCAAGGCAAGUUUUGGGAUAAAAAACAGAUCAAGAUCGAUUCUCAAACCUUCUUCUAGUUCAUUCAUUAAUCAUUCUGCAGCUUCAAUCGAUGUUACUUAACCUUUUCAGCUGACAAAGCGUCGUUAGAUAAACCAAGAUACAAGAUAUAGAAGGUAGCAUCUCCGGGCUACAUUCGAACCAGGUAGCCUAAACACGAUAACAGCGCGACUGGACACACAAGUACAAUCAUACCCCAAAACCAACACGUCAUUCUGUGAAGCCAUAUCAUUUAUCUGAUUGUUAUGCUUCUUCACUUAGUAAUCAACGGGUUUUGAAUUAUCAUAUAGAGCAUUAAAUCGUAGGGCGACUGAAUGUAAAUGAUACAGAACAAGUUCCAUAAAUAUAAUAAUUUUAACUCAUUGCCUAAAUGUUUUAAUUGGCCAUAACAACGUAAUACAUUUCAUCUUUAAAAUCAUUUUUAUUUUAUUAUAUAUAUUUAUGUACAUAUUUAAGCAUCCAAUUGAAUGUAGAACCUUCAUUCCAAUUUAUGAAUUUUGCACUAAUUCAGAAGUAAACCGAAUGUAUUAACUGAGUGGAAAUUCAGUACAUUAGUAAUAGUUAUUUCUUUGUAAUAUAUGAAUUAUGUAAAGCGCAAUUCAGUUGUUUGAAAAUAUUUGUUGAUGUAUACUACCUGAUGAUGGCUUUAUAAGCCGAAACAUGUACCGUAUUACCAUACUAUUAAACGAAUAAACUCAUUAUACA
Cryptotermes secundus is the source of this 1745-nucleotide long non-coding RNA. RefSeq lists it as uncharacterized. The record is from RefSeq and is a predicted model, not a curated record. NCBI's taxonomy places the organism in Eukaryota, Metazoa, Arthropoda, Insecta, Blattodea, Kalotermitidae. The transcript is spliced from 3 exons.